Molecule: long non-coding RNA, 1541 nt
Filed under: Helianthus annuus (common sunflower)
Lineage: Eukaryota; Viridiplantae; Streptophyta; Magnoliopsida; Asterales; Asteraceae
Description: hypothetical non coding rna
Source: RNAcentral
CCACCACAGCAACAAAACCCCUUAGAUCUGAAAUCUGGAGAUUCUAGAAAGUGGAAGAGUAACAUGCAAGAGUGAGAGAGGGGUUGGGCCAAGAGAGGGGCGGUGGUGUGGUUUUAGACGGUACACCUCUCAGAUGAAGGUGUCAUGUCAGUGAUGCUGGUGGGUCUGGUUUCAGUAACAAGAUAGAGGCGGUGCGAGGUAGGUUUGUGACGGGUCUCCGUUUAACUCCGGUGAAGCUCCGGCGAGUUCUCCGUUGACCAAUCUGGUUCUACAUGUCAAUAAAUAAUCUUAUUGAUAGGUGGUUCUCCACUACAUUCAGUUUCCGAACCACCAAACAAUUUAGAACCCAGAUAUGCAAACCCCUUUCAUUUCACAUAUGAAAAGUUACAUUAGUCAUCAACAGAAAUACUAAAACCUUAAUUCUCCAUCACAUUGAUUUGUUGUUGAUCAUUGUUGUUUCAGGUAAAUUUUGCUAAUCCUUUGUGUAUUUAUAUGAUUGGUUGAUUUAAAUUGAUGUGAUUUGGGGGAGUAAAAAUUUGAGUUGGUUUUAGGGGUUUUUUAGGGGGCAUCGAGCUAACUAUAUAUAAGUUGUCAGUGACGAAUCUUGAGAUUUCCGGACCGGGGGUCGAAAACGUAUAUACCAAAAAUUUCUAUAAAACCGGGGGGUCAAAAACGUAUAUACCCAAAAAUUUCUAUACGAAAACUACAUACUCUCCAAUACUGAGUGAAAAGUUCGGGGGAUCGGCCGCCCCUCCCGCCCCCACAAAGCUACGCCCUUGUAAGUUGUUAUAAUUUUAUUUGUUGUUUGUAAUUAUUGUGUAUAUAGAAAUUCAUGUUACUUCUAAUUCCCUUUGAGACAUGUAACAGUUUACUUUCUGUUUGGCUAUGUUGUGAUGUAUUGUUUUAGGGGUUAAUUAACUAAUUCUGCAUCUAUAUCUGCUAAUUAAGCUAAGCCUUUUUCUAGGUGAUGAAAAUAGGUUCUUGGACCAUGACAAAAUUAAUGUUGAUUACAUGGGGCAAAUUUUGAGUUCAUACCAUUUGGUUCUGGUCGAAGAAUGUGUCCAGCUAUACCCCUCGCCUCACCGGUGCUUCCACUCGCUUUAGGUUAUUUUGACUAACCCAGAUGAUAUGUAGAGAGAGAAGAGAAAGAUACUAACCCAUAAACAUUUGUAGUUGGAAAAGAGAUGCCAUGGUGGAUGGCACAAUGAGGGAAGGUUGUAGCCGAAGGGAAAGCUGUUGUUCCCAUUCCACCACCAGCUUAAGAUGGCUAGCGGUAUCGACAUAACCGAAUUGUUUUUUUAAUUUAUAACAAAUGUAGUUAUUUUUUGUGAAGCCGGCGGUUUGAGUUUAUUGCGCAUGUAUAUUGCCUAAUUUGGCAGGAAACAUAGCAUCGGUAGAUCAUUUAGUAGAGUUUAGGGGAAUUCUGUGUGGUGUACGUUCCGAAUUAAGAUUAGUUGAAGGCAUUGUUGGUUAUGUGGAUAUAUGAUCCAAUAUUUUAAGUGUUUAGACUAUGGUAUUCGAUGUAAUUAUUAUUUAUUACA